This 253-nucleotide ribosomal RNA is filed under the name uncultured bacterium. Its description in RNAcentral is "partial 16S ribosomal RNA". It matches the Rfam family "Bacterial small subunit ribosomal RNA", at positions 524 to 776 of the family's 1533-position model. The record is from RNAcentral.
UACGUAGGGUGCGAGCGUUAAUCGGAAUUACUGGGCGUAAAGAGCUCGUAGGUGGUUUGUCGCGUUGUUCGUGAAAACCGGGGGCUUAACCCUCGGCGUGCGGGCGAUACGGGCAGACUUGAGUACUGCAGGGGAGACUGGAAUUCCUGGUGUAGCGGUGGAAUGCGCAGAUAUCAGGAGGAACACCGGUGGCGAAGGCGGGUCUCUGGGCAGUAACUGACGCUGAGGAGCGAAAGCGUGGGGAGCGAACAGG